AAUAAGUUAUAUAGAAGGUAAAAUAAGUUAAAUAGAAGGUGAAUAAAAUGUAAAAUAAGAUAAACAGAAGGUAAAUAAAAGGUGAAAUAAGUUAAAUAGAAGGUAAAUAAAAGGUAAAAGGAGGCCAAGUAAGUUAAACAAAAUGUAGAACAAGUUAAAUAAAAGAUAAAACAAGGUAAAUAGAAGGUUAGCGGAGAUAAAACAAGGCAAAAGACGUUUAAGGAAGGUAAAUAGAAGGGAAUUAAAAGGUAAAAUAAGUUAAACAGAAGGUAAAAUAAGGUAAAUAAAAUGUAAAACAAGUUAAAUAGAAGGUAAAUAAAAGGUAAAAUAAGGUAAAAGUAGUCAAUAAAACUUCAAAUAAGGUAAAUUAAAGGUAAAGUAAAUGAAAAGUAAAAGACAGAAUAUGUAAGGUUAAAUAGGAGGUAAAUAUAAGGUAAAAUAAGUUAAAUACAACGUAAAAAAAGAAGGUAAAGUAGGUUAAAUAAAAUGUUAAAUAAGUUUAAAUAAAGCUAAAAUAAGUUAUAUAGAAGGUGACUAAAUUGUAAAAUAAGAUAAACAGAAGGUAAAUAAAGGGUAAAAUAAGUUAAAUAGAAGGUGAAUAAAAUGUAAAAUAAGAUAAACAGAAGGUAAAUAAAGGGUGAAAUAAGUUAAAUAGAAGGUAAAUAAAAGGUAAAAGGAGGCCAAGUGAGUUAAACAAAAUGUAAAAGAAGUUAAAUAAAAGAUAAAACAAGGUAAAUAGAAGGUUAGCGGAGAUAAAACAAGGCGAAAGACGUUUAAGGAAGGUAAAUAGAAGGGAAUUAAAAGGUAAAAUAAGUUAAAUAGAAGGUAAAAUAAGGUAAAUAAAAUGUAAAACAAGUUAUACAGAAGGUAAAUUAAGUUAAAUAGAAGGUAAAUAAAAGUUCAAAUAAGGUAAAUUAAAGGUAAAGUAAAUGAAAAGUAAAAGACAGAAUAUGUAAGGUUAAAUAGGAGGUAAAUAAAAUGUAAAACAAGUUAUACAGAAGGUAAAUUAAGUUAAAUAGAAGGUAAAUAAAAGGUAAAAUAAGGUAAAAGUAGUCAAUAAAAGUUCAAAUAAGGUAAAUUAAAGGUAAAGUAAAUGAAAAGUAAAAGACAGAAUAUGUAAGGUUAUAUAGAAGGUAAAUAAAAGGUAAAAUAAGUUAAAUACAACGUUAAAAAAAAGGCAAAAGAAGGUAAAGUAGGUUAAAUAAAAUGUUAAAUAAGUUUAAAUAAAGCUAAAAUAAGUUAUAUAGAAGGUGACUAAAUUGUAAAAUAAGAUAAACAGAAGGUAAAUAAAGGGUAAAAUAAGUUAAAUAGAAGGUAAAUAAAAGGUAAAGGGAGGCCAAGUAAGUUAAACGAAAUGUAAAAGAAGUUAAAUAAAAGACAAAACAAGGUAAAUAGAAGGUUAGCGGAGAUAAAACAAGGCAAAAGACGUUUAAGGAAGGUAAAUAGAAGGGAAUUAGAAGGUAAAAUAAGGUAAAUAAAAGGUUAAACAAGUUAUACAGAAGGUAAAUUAAGUCAAAUAGAAGGUAAUUAAAAGGUAACAUAAGUCAAACAGAAGGUAAAAAAAAAAAGGUAAUAUAAGUUAAAUAGAAGUCAAAUAAAAGGUAAACAAAAGAUAAUAUAAGUUAUCAGUUAAUAGUUAAGUGAAUAAGUUAUACAGGAAAAUACAACACUGUACUUUAACCAAGUCAUUGUUUGGUGUACCAGUUUGUGUAAGUGCUGCCAUCUAGUGUGUAGUUAGUGACACUACAUGAUCAUGAAUAUAUACUGUAAGUGCUGCCAUCUAGUGUCUUCUUAGUGACACUACAUGAGAAUAUCAUCAUAAAUAUAUACUGUAAGUGCUGCCAUCUAGUGUGUAGUUAGUGACACUACAUGA
Molecule: non-coding RNA, 1873 nt
Organism: Nerophis lumbriciformis (worm pipefish)
Lineage: Eukaryota; Metazoa; Chordata; Actinopteri; Syngnathiformes; Syngnathidae
Source: RefSeq, a predicted model, not a curated record